GACGAACGCUGGCGGCGUGCUUAACACAUGCAAGUCGAACGGAAAGGCCCUGCUUUUGUGGGGUGCUCGAGUGGCGAACGGGUGAGUAACACGUGAGUAACCUGCCCUUGACUUUGGGAUAACUUCAGGAAACUGGGGCUCAUACCGGAUAGGAGCUCCUGCUGCAUGGUGGGGGUUGGAAAGUUUCGGCGGUUGGGGAUGGACUCGCGGCUUAUCAGCUUGUUGGUGGGGUAGUGGCUUACCAAGGCUUUGACGGGUAGCCGGCCUGAGAGGGUGACCGGCCACAUUGGGACUGAGAUACGACCCAGACUCCUACGGGAGGCAGCAGUGGGGAAUAUUGCGCAAUGGGCGGAAGCCUGAUGCAGCAACGCCGCGUGCGGGAUGACGGCCUUCGGGUUGUAAACCGCUUGCGCCUGUGACGAAGCGUGAGUGACGGUAAUGGGUAAAGAAGCACCGGCUAACUACGU
Molecule: ribosomal RNA, 467 nt
Filed under: uncultured bacterium
Lineage: Bacteria
Description: partial 16S ribosomal RNA
Rfam family: Bacterial small subunit ribosomal RNA
Source: RNAcentral